RNAcentral lists this small nucleolar RNA (209 nucleotides) under Gouania willdenowi (blunt-snouted clingfish). RNAcentral's name for it is "Small nucleolar RNA SNORA73 family (ENSGWIG00000003369.1)". It matches the Rfam family "Small nucleolar RNA SNORA73 family". Rfam says of the family: U17 (SNORA73A and SNORA73B) also known as E1 belongs to the H/ACA class of small nucleolar RNAs (snoRNAs). Vertebrate U17 is intron-encoded and ranges in length from 200-230 nucleotides, longer than most snoRNAs. Lineage: Eukaryota; Metazoa; Chordata; Actinopteri; Blenniiformes; Gobiesocidae. The record is from Rfam by way of RNAcentral.
UCUAUAUACAUUUAUAAAAAAGGACAGGACAGAUCUAUUCUUAUGGAAGCAUAGCUCUGAGCUGUGACGUACAGUCCCGUUCCACGCCAUCGGAGACAAAGCUCCGUCCCCGGCUGUCGCUGGUGAGGACGAGCGUCCUGCAUAUUCCUACAUCUUCCCAGAGUCCUUUGGGGCCGUUACUGGGGAGCUAAACCAUGCAAUGCACACAC